This 308-nucleotide long non-coding RNA is filed under the name Canis lupus familiaris (dog). RNAcentral's name for it is "lncRNA (ENSCAFG00000055349.1, ENSCAFG00845016670.1)". Lineage: Eukaryota; Metazoa; Chordata; Mammalia; Carnivora; Canidae. The record is from RNAcentral.
GGAAAAUGGAAUCAAGGCUCUAGACAAGCUGGGGGUACUUCUCCUUGAUCCUUUUCUAACAUUUUUUUUUCUUUUCAGACUCAAAAGACCUGACAUCCACUCAGAUUGAAGCAGGAAAGGAAUACCCAAGUCCAGGGACCUCAUCACCACAAUACUUUGGGGACCCUUUGGCAAGAAGAGCUGGGGGCCUGACCCAUGGCAUCCUUCCUGCUUGGGUGUGAAGCCACCGUGUUGGGCCAAGGGCCCGCUUGAAGGUGGAUAUGGAGAUUUGUGUUUCUAGUUGCUAACACCAAGCUUUAUCAACUGUG